GAAACAUGGCUGUUCGAAACAGCUCAAAUUUGUAUUAAAACUUGUCGUUUUUGGAUGUUAAGAUGGCCUAAUGGCGACAUACAAGAACCGUAAAAAGGCCAACUUUUAAACGAUUUUGGAACCGGUUUGUCGUGGAUUAACUAGCAUUGUUUUUGGAUAAAUUAACUGUUUGAACAUCGACAAUUACAUCGCGAAGUCCACAGCUUGAAUCGCCCGAAAGGAUACUACAUUAUUCGACGGAUAUCUAUCUGGUGUAUAAGCGAUUUGCUAUAAAAUUACACUAUCAACUCGAUGGUAUUGCCAGUGGAAGUACGUGUAUCUCGGGAACCACCUAGACGUAAACAAAUGCUAACAAACUUUAUGUAGAAAUGUUGCUUGUUCAUGUCGUUGUUAUUAUCGAAGUCCACAGUAAUGAAACAUUUAAACAAAGUAGGUUAAAAUUUUAUAUUUUUGUCAACUCCUAUACUGUUUAUAGUAAUUUUCGGUUGCCAUAUUAAGGCAAAGUGCGCAUGUCCAUCGCCAUCUUGUCCCAAAUUUCUGGUGAUGAUGACGUACGAUCCGCGUAAAAUCCGCAAUGCGGAUUCAUUUUUCCACUCAUUCAGCA
Molecule: non-coding RNA, 604 nt
Organism: Paramuricea clavata
Lineage: Eukaryota; Metazoa; Cnidaria; Anthozoa; Malacalcyonacea; Plexauridae
Source: the annotation of a GenBank genome assembly